Long non-coding RNA from Rhincodon typus (whale shark), 882 nucleotides. RefSeq lists it as uncharacterized. The transcript has 3 exons. NCBI's taxonomy places the organism in Eukaryota, Metazoa, Chordata, Chondrichthyes, Orectolobiformes, Rhincodontidae. The record is from RefSeq and is a predicted model, not a curated record.
UAGCCGGAGGCGGGCUCCGCCGCACGAGGCUGAAUAUUCGGGGCCGUUUAAAAAUAAACGGCCAACGGUUUCCUCCCCCCACCCCCCGCCCUGACGGGGAAGAGGCUCACGUACACCGAUACCAGCACUUAAAUAAAUAAGGCCAAGGUCCACCUGAUCAACCAUCAAACUGAAGAACAACUGUCACACAACAGACAACAUGUAAUGUAUGCAUUGGUAACUUCAUCGACUGUCGUAUCCCUUGAGAGAAAACUAACAAGAUUUCCCUCACUUGCUAUCUCCUCCAGUCCAGGAGAAAGGAACACUGACAGAAUGAAUCUAGAGCCGUGAAGGAAAUCAAGCUUCUUGCAGCAGCAGAGAGCAGCUUCAACUCCAAAAACGUCAACUUCAACAACUGAAAGCAAAACUAAAAACCCUGGGUCUGUGUGAGUCUGACUGCACCCACUCAUGCUACUUCUGGUGAAAUUUUGGAAAAAAACUCAAAGCUAUUUACACUGCUUUCAAUGGAGCAGAUAUGUCGGUACCUGGUUGGUAAUGCCCUCUUUAAGAAAAAUAGGACAGAACAAAUACCUCUUAGAGUCACAUAUCAUUGCACCACCCUCCUUAAAGAAUUAUCAGUAUACAAUGAUGGUUUCAUUUUCAAAACCUUUAGUUUCAUGCCGGUAGUACUCUACAUUUUAUCUAAUAUAUGUAUUCCACUAAACCCGAGCAUGCAAACAUUUAAUAUUAUAGUCCAUCUCAGUCCAUUUCUUCCGCCACCAUACACCUCCACCUUCCUUCAUUAAAGUUGUGACAAUGCAUCACCAACCACGUUCUCUCGUCCUGCUACAUGUACAACCUUCAAGUGGAAUGGCUUUAACAAUAAACUCCAUCUAAACAGUC